This 471-nucleotide ribosomal RNA is filed under the name Salmonella enterica subsp. enterica serovar Mississippi. RNAcentral describes it as "bacterial SSU rRNA". It matches the Rfam family "Bacterial small subunit ribosomal RNA", at positions 1 to 468 of the family's 1533-position model. The record is from RNAcentral. Lineage: Bacteria; Pseudomonadati; Pseudomonadota; Gammaproteobacteria; Enterobacterales; Enterobacteriaceae.
AAAUUGAAGAGUUUGAUCAUGGCUCAGAUUGAACGCUGGCGGCAGGCCUAACACAUGCAAGUCGAACGGUAACAGGAAGCAGCUUGCUGCUUUGCUGACGAGUGGCGGACGGGUGAGUAAUGUCUGGGAAACUGCCUGAUGGAGGGGGAUAACUACUGGAAACGGUGGCUAAUACCGCAUAACGUCGCAAGACCAAAGAGGGGGACCUUCGGGCCUCUUGCCAUCAGAUGUGCCCAGAUGGGAUUAGCUUGUUGGUGAGGUAACGGCUCACCAAGGCGACGAUCCCUAGCUGGUCUGAGAGGAUGAUCAGCCACACUGGAACUGAGACACGGUCCAGACUCCUACGGGAGGCAGCAGUGGGGAAUAUUGCACAAUGGGCGCAAGCCUGAUGCAGCCAUGCCGCGUGUAUGAAGAAGGCCUUCGGGUUGUAAAGUACUUUCAGCGGGGAGGAAGGUGUUGCGGUUAAUAACC